Molecule: ribosomal RNA, 400 nt
Filed under: uncultured bacterium
Lineage: Bacteria
Description: bacterial SSU rRNA
Rfam family: Bacterial small subunit ribosomal RNA
Source: RNAcentral
UGGGGAAUAUUGGACAAUGGGCGCAAGCCUGAUCCAGCCAUGCCGCGUGGGUGAAGAAGGCCUUCGGGUUGUAAAGCCCUUUUGGCGGGGAGGAAGGCUCUGAUGCUAAUAUCAUCGGAGAUUGACGCUACCCGCAGAAUAAGCACCGGCAAACUCCGUGCCAGCAGCCGCGGUAAUACGGAGGGUGCAAGCGUUAAUCGGAAUUACUGGGCGUAAAGCGCACGUAGGCGGUUUGAUCAGUCGGAUGUGAAAUCCCCGGGCUCAACCUGGGAACUGCAUUCGAUACUGUCAAGCUAGAGUACGGUAGAGGGGGGUAGAAUUCCAGGUGUAGCGGUGAAAUGCGUAGAUAUCUGGAGGAAUACCGGUGGCGAAGGCGACCCCCUGGACUGAUACUGACGCU